This 301-nucleotide long non-coding RNA is filed under the name Sorghum bicolor (sorghum). Its description in RNAcentral is "long non-coding RNA (SBIC_LNC004785)". Lineage: Eukaryota; Viridiplantae; Streptophyta; Magnoliopsida; Poales; Poaceae. The record is from RNAcentral.
GUAGAAGAGAAUGCAAUAUAUGCUUUACUUUGGUUACAUGUUCUUGGAUGAUGUUGACUACCUUGUAGAAAUAGUUUCCUGUUUCAUCCGUUGGAACUCAUCUCCACUGGAGAUGGGGUUUGUGCCUACUCAUCUAAGCACCAUGUCAUGAUCAUCUUGUCUUAACUUGCAUAGCAUUGCACCUCGGGCAUCUUGCACUUCCACUCAUGAGCACACAUGCAUCAUACACGCUCGCAGUGGGACCCGAGGAGCAGGAGGAGACACAGGAGUAGGAACUUCCAUGAGGACAAGAGCUGGAGGG